Molecule: ribosomal RNA, 445 nt
Filed under: uncultured bacterium
Lineage: Bacteria
Description: partial 16S ribosomal RNA
Rfam family: Bacterial small subunit ribosomal RNA
Source: RNAcentral
GUGAGGAAUAUUGGACAAUGGGCGCAAGCCUGAUCCAGCCAUGCCGCGUGCAGGAAGACGCAUCUAUGGUGUGUAAACUGCUUUUGUACGGGAAGAAACACUCCCUCGUGAGGGAGCUUGACGGUACCGUAAGAAUAAGGAUCGGCUAACUCCGUGCCAGCAGCCGCGGUAAUACGGAGGAUCCAAGCGUUAUCCGGAAUCAUUGGGUUUAAAGGGUCCGUAGGCGGUUUAAUAAGUCAGUGGUGAAAGCCCAUCGCUCAACGAUGGAACGGCCAUUGAUACUGUUAGACUUUAAUUACAAGGAAGUAACUAGAAUAUGUAGUGUAGCGGUGAAAGGCUUAGAUAUUACAUGGAAUACCAAUGGCGAAGGCAGGUUACUACUUGUGGAUUGACGCUGAUGGACGAAAGCGUGGGGAGCGAACAGGAUUAGAAACCCUGGUAGUCC